GUUCAAAAGGCCCUGUCUAUGACAUCAUUUGCUGCUGCAGCCUGGCACAGGUCAGAGUAUUUCGGCGGUUGCCAUCUUCAAACGGUCGUAUUUUAAAAACUAUAAAUCCUACAGCGAAGAGCUUUAUAUUGUGAGAAUCACAAGACCCAGACCUACAUUUUUUUUUUUUUUUUUUUUUUUAAAUUCUUUAUUUUGGUUGUGCAGGUGAUUACAGGAUAUCAACGAACGCCACAACAGCGUAUUGCAAGAUUGACAGUAGUUUGGUAGUGGCAUAGUAAUCUGCACAUUUUUAUAUUUUAUAUCGUGCUGAACUAAAUGGUU
Pelobates cultripes (western spadefoot toad) is the source of this 321-nucleotide non-coding RNA. The record is from the annotation of a GenBank genome assembly. NCBI's taxonomy places the organism in Eukaryota, Metazoa, Chordata, Amphibia, Anura, Pelobatidae.